This 481-nucleotide ribosomal RNA is filed under the name uncultured bacterium. Its description in RNAcentral is "bacterial SSU rRNA". It matches the Rfam family "Bacterial small subunit ribosomal RNA", at positions 8 to 486 of the family's 1533-position model. The record is from RNAcentral.
AGAGUUUGAUCCUGGCUCAGAUUGAACGCUGGCGGCAUGCCUUACACAUGCAAGUCGAACGGCAGCGGACCUUCGGGUGCCGGCGAGUGGCGAACGGGUGAGUAAUGUAUCGGAACGUACCUUUCAGUGGGGGAUAACGUAGCGAAAGUUACGCUAAUACCGCAUAUUCUGUGCGCAGGAAAGCAGGGGAUCGCAAGACCUUGCGCUGAUUGAGCGGCCGACAUCAGAUUAGCUAGUUGGUGAGGUAAAGGCUCACCAAGGCGACGAUCUGUAGCGGGUCUGAGAGGAUGAUCCGCCACACUGGAACUGAGACACGGUCCAGACUCCUACGGGAGGCAGCAGUGGGGAAUUUUGGACAAUGGGGGCAACCCUGAUCCAGCCAUGCCGCGUGAGUGAAGAAGGCCUUCGGGUUGUAAAGCUCUUUCGGCCGGGAAGAAAUCGCAUGGGUUAAUACCCUGUGCGGAUGACGGUACCGGCAUAA